Panicum virgatum (switchgrass) is the source of this 1090-nucleotide long non-coding RNA. RefSeq lists it as uncharacterized. The transcript has 3 exons. NCBI's taxonomy places the organism in Eukaryota, Viridiplantae, Streptophyta, Magnoliopsida, Poales, Poaceae. The record is from RefSeq and is a predicted model, not a curated record.
UAUGUCAUAUCCUUUGUUAUAGACAAUUCACCUAUGUCAAUUACAAUCCUAAAGGCUACAAGUAUGGCUCACAAGUUGGAGUAAUUAUCAAACGGCUUUAUCCUGGUGAGAUCAAAAUCUGUGAUGAUGAAGGCAGGGUUGUUGAAACACGGGCGGCAUUGUCAUGGCAUGAUUACUUCUACAAAAAGGAUGAACUUGGUUUGACAUAUGCCAGACGAGUAAAGCAGGAAUUCUGGAGUUUGUUCACAACCACUCGAGCUGGUGUAAGAAGAGCCAGCCGUAAUUUGGAGACAUAUCUUGUGAAAAGAGUAUCUGAUCUGAUCUAUCAAGCCCGUUUGGAUGCUGUAAAGAAGCAUGAGGGCUGUGAUGAUAAUCAAGCACGCGAUAUAGAACUUACAGAAGAACAAUACUUAAAGUGCAGACCUGAUUGGGGCACCAGGGAAGGUUGGGCAGCCUUAUGCAAGUACUGGAUCAGUGAGAAGUACAAGGAAAAGAGGAGAGCAGCUUGAGCAGCACGCCUAAAAUCUGUUGACGUUGCUCAGAAUAGAGGUGGUUCAAGGCCAUGGGCAGAAACACAACAAUUGCUGGAGCAUAAAUUUGGUCCAGAGAAGGCUGGCACUUUAAACACAUAUGCAGUGAUGAAAUCUGGAUUCAAAAAUGUGGAUAGCACUAGAAAAAGUGCUCCAAUCCCCAGCCAAAAAGCACAAAAGCGCUUGGUAUGUAUGCCAUGCUUAACAUUUUGAUAUGAACUUUUUCUAGUCAUGCUUAGCACACUGGUAUUUCAUUUUAGGAUGAGUACAAUGCAAGAGCAAUGCUUGCUGAGAAUUCAAAGGAUUUAGAUGCACACACUUUGUAUCACAUGGAAGGUGGUUUGCCCCAUGGUCGUGUACCAAUAGCUGAUGGUGCAGUGGAUAAGGAAGAGGUUAGAGUAGUUGCAAAAUCCAAUAAUCUACGUCCAGUCAAUACUGCUUCUUAUCGAACUGUGGUGGAUGAAAAUGAUGAGCUAAAGGAGAUGAAUAAGGAGUUGAGGGAGAUUAAUCGGGAUCUAAAGCAAAACAAUGUUGAAUUGACGGAGAAAAUGAGAUACUCA